UAGCUCAGUUGGUAGAGCGCAACCUUGCCAAGGUUGAGGUCGCGAGUUCGAGACUCG
Molecule: transfer RNA, 57 nt
Filed under: Neisseria meningitidis
Lineage: Bacteria; Pseudomonadati; Pseudomonadota; Betaproteobacteria; Neisseriales; Neisseriaceae
Also listed under: 5 other names
Description: tRNA-Gly
Rfam family: tRNA
About the family: Transfer RNA (tRNA) molecules are approximately 80 nucleotides in length.
Source: RNAcentral